RNAcentral lists this ribosomal RNA (309 nucleotides) under uncultured bacterium. RNAcentral describes it as "partial 16S ribosomal RNA". It matches the Rfam family "Bacterial small subunit ribosomal RNA", at positions 504 to 807 of the family's 1533-position model. The record is from RNAcentral.
AGAGACAGCAGUAGCCGCGGGAACACAGAGGGUGCGAGCGUUAAUCGGAUUUACUGGGCGUAAAGCGUGCGUAGGCGGCUUUUUAAGUCGGAUGUGAAAUCCCUGAGCUUAACUUAGGAAUUGCAUUCGAUACUGGGAAGCUAGAGUAUGGGAGAGGAUGGUAGAAUUCCAGGUGUAGCGGUGAAAUGCGUAGAGAUCUGGAGGAAUACCGAUGGCGAAGGCAGCCAUCUGGCCUAAUACUGACGCUGAGGUACGAAAGCAUGGGGAGCAAACAAGAUUAGAUACCCCUGUAGUCCCUGUCUCUUAUAC